AAAAAAAAAAGCACUUGUUUAAAUUCCUUGCUCAGAACAUGCGAACGUAUGAAAGCUGGUGGUUCCUUUUAACAUGAGUCUUCAAUAUUCCCAGCUAAGGAGUUUUAGUUUGUAGAUAUUAUAGGACUAUACCAUUUGUAUUUCAUAUACCUUUGACUAUUGGCUGUUCUUAUUGGCACUAUAGUAUUGCUAGCCUAAUCUCGGAAGUUGAUAGGCUUGAAGUCAUAAAGAGCGCUGUGCAUCAAGCAUUGCUAAGAGCUGUUGGCAAAUGUAUUUAAGUGCUGUUUGAAUGCUUACGAAUGCUCAGACUGCUCUAUCAAAUCAUAGACUUACUUAUAAUAUAGUUAACACAGUUUCCGGAUUUGACCAAAAUAAUGACCAAAGGCUCGUAUUUCUAUCAUUUCAAAAACAAAACAUUUAUUCUUUCAGUGAAAUACGGAACUGUUCCGUACUUAAUCGAAUGGAUGGCAUCCCUAAGUCUCAAUAUUGCUGUUACAUUGCACAACCUUCAAUGUCAUGUCAUAAUUAUGUGAAAUUGUGGCAAAUUAAUUACGGUGUUAGGAAGAAAUGGUCUUCACACAGUUCACAACGAGCCAGGCGGCCCAAACUGCUGCAUAUACCCUGACUCUGCUUGCACUGAACGCAAGAGAAGUGACAAUUUCCCUAGUUAAUAUUGCCUGCUAACAUGAAUUUCUUAACUAAAUAUGCAGGUUUCAAAAAAUAUAUACUUGUGUAUUGAUUUUAAGACAGUCAUUGAUUAUGGUUAGGUACAUUGGUGCAACGGCAGUGCUUUUUUUCAUGACUGAGCUUGUUAAAUCAUCACCCUUUUGGUGAAGUACGCUGUGAUUCAAUGAUAAAUUAACAUGCAUUGAUUAUUUGCACUGCAGGGCAAGCUAGUUGAACUAGUAAUAUCAUCAACCAUGUGUAGUUAACUAGUGAUUAUGGUAAUUUUUAAUGCUAGCUAGCAACUUACCGUGGCUUGUUGCUGCACUCGCGUAACAGGUGGUCAGCCUGCCACGCAGUCUCCUCGUGGAGUGAGAUGUAAUCGGCGUCCAAAAAUGUUUAUGAAAACUUAAUCGGGGUCGACCUCUAACAGAUGCAUUGAUCCAUUGGCAGCUAAAUGAGUGCACAGAACUCGUAGCCUCUAACUUCUCUUGAGCUUUCAUGCUGAGGACUGAUUAUUGAAGGCGGUAGUUGGAAAUAUUUUUCUAAUAGGUUACUGUGAGGGACUAGUUUUAAUAACAUAUAAUUCGCAGUGGAUGUUCCUCUUUCCUACAUUUUCACACAGCAGGCCAGGUACUUCUAUGCAUGCUCAGGCACUCAUGCUUCCUCAACAUUAUCAGGACUGAGAAGCCAGACUUGCUCAUUAGUCACAUGGAGCACUCCAAACAAAAGACAAUGAGAAAUUGACAAAUCUCAUAAAUGAUUAUGAAAUAAACGUAAACUCAGAAGUGUAGAAGGUUGCAAACUCUGCAAACAGUGUUUCUACUCAAUGAGAACAGUAAAAUGACUAAUGCAUGCAUUAACAGAAAUUGUAACCAAAUGACAGCUUAACAGUACAUUUACUAAAAUCAAAGGGCAAAGAAUUUACACUGAAUUGGCGGGAGACCGCUGAGCAAUUCUGUAGAGACUCGACCAUCUUCGCCACACACCCCGCCCCUUGUCCCAACAUUUAAAUAUUCUACUCUAGACAGCUUCACACAUUUUAGCUUUUCACCCCAGCCGUAACUCGAUCAGCUAGGUCUUAAUGCCCUGCGUUUACCAAAUUGCAGAUUUCCCAAAUAGGCAUCGGCCUACGGGAUUUUGAAAUGAUCCACAACAACAAAAAAUGUAAGAUGCAAGAUGAUCCUCAGUUCCUCUUUGGCCAAGUCAUGCUUUCUGGUGAAGUGUGUCGAAUGGUCUUGUUCCUCUAUAGACAAGUACUUUUGUCAUUUAUUUCCAUUCCCUAUUGGGCCCACCCCAUGCAGUUAAUCCCAUUCUAUUGGUUUUCAUAUUUACUUUAUUUCGUUGUCCAGAAGCAAAAUGUACAAUCGUUGUCAUAUUAGCAACCCAUCCACGUUGAGUCUUUAGAUUCCCCUGCUUUCUAACUUGACAAUGCAGUUGUAUUGGUUGCUGCGAUAAAUGCGUUGCUUUUUCUGUUAAAAGAUGCAUUGCUAUAUUCUGAGCACUGGGUGGAUGCCCUAAUAGAUGCCCAUACGUGUCCGGUAAAUUACUCUUUCCCUGUCACGUUGUCUGGAAACUUAUCCUAUUUUUUUUAUUUUUCCCCCUAAUGGAAACCUUGGUUCAGUCCCAUUGGCUGUUGCUCUAACAUGGGUAGACAACCCAGGCAGGGGUGUGCCAGAGUAGCCUUAGUCCCAAUUAUGCAGCAGGUAAAUGAUGACUUGGUUAGCUGCUGCUGCCCUUAAGUUAAUAUGUACUGAUGCCAAUAGAUUCUGAUUAUGGGCUUUUCUCUCCUCAUACAGGAAGCCAGUGAGGCAUACCUUGUUGGCCUGUUUGAGGACACCAACCUGUGUGCCAUCCAUGCCAAGAGGGUCACCAUCAUGCCCAAAGACAUCCAGCUGGCCAGGCGAAUCCGAGGCGAGCGUGCAUAAUAUGAACACUUUGAACUCUUCGAGGAAAGCAAGAAGCUCACCCCAAAGAGACUGAUGGAGGACUUUCCACCACGGCUGCUGAUACUUGCGUCCAAGGGACUGGUCUACAUUCUAAGUCUUGUGACUGGCUUUGCUGGUAAUGAACUUGAUGGGAUGACUGAGCUCCUCACCAUCCUAAUCUGCUGUUUUUGACUUAGCCAGCCACUGGGAGGUCAGGGAGAGGGUCCGUGAAUGGUUUAAUAAAAAACAGGCCAGGUGUAACAGUAACAACAUAUCAAUAAAUGGCAUUGAACAGAAUGCCACUCCCCACCCUUAAA
Molecule: long non-coding RNA, 2908 nt
Organism: Salvelinus fontinalis (brook trout)
Lineage: Eukaryota; Metazoa; Chordata; Actinopteri; Salmoniformes; Salmonidae
Exons: 2
Source: RefSeq, a predicted model, not a curated record